AUACCAAAUUAAACUCAAUAUUUGAUCGAGAUUUUAUUGCUGAAAACAUCUGUUGUUACUCCACAACUUCGACCAAUAGAUCAAAUUACAGGAUUAGAAGAUUUAAUAUCCAUUUUGCUAAUUAAAAAAAAUCAACCUCAAACUCUGCAGAAAUAUACACUAAGAUCUACAAUUGGUGAUGGCAACUGCCUCUUCCGGACUGUGUCACUAGCUCUAUAUGGUGCUGAAGAUCAUCAUUUGUAUCUUAGGGUUCUCACAUCCAUUGAGAUGAUACUGCUCAAAAAUUGCUAUGAUUCAUCAUCCAAAAAUUAUGCACAAACAAUCACGUACACCAGAAUCGAAACACCAACGUAUCCGUACUGUUGCGUUCUGUCGUAUCUAUUGGUGGAUAUAGUGAACUAAUGCAUAUUUAUGCAUUAAGUGCUGCUCUUGCAAUGCCGAUUCAUUCUAUUUUUCCUGCUGAUAGCAGUUUCUACGAUUUUGCUCAUCCUUAUAAUGUAGUUGUUUACAGACAAGGAGUUAGAAAAGUAUUGGAUCCUGAAAUUGCAGUACUGUGAUACUGCAAUUUCAAGAUAUUUUUGUGGACUUGUGUCAGUGAAGAAAUAAAAGUAUACAACCAUAUUUUCUAUCUUACCAAUCGUCUAUCUGCAAGUGAGAUUGAUUUCAACAUUUUGGAUGAAAGUCUUUCAGGCAGAAUCAGAAGUGUUGCACCACUAGCCAAUGAAAAUAAUCUCACAUUAACCUUCAAUGACACAGACAUAUCAGACAAUAAAACAGAGCAAUAUUUACAAAAG
This is a long non-coding RNA of Hydra vulgaris (swiftwater hydra), 794 nucleotides long. RefSeq lists it as uncharacterized. The record is from RefSeq and is a predicted model, not a curated record. NCBI's taxonomy places the organism in Eukaryota, Metazoa, Cnidaria, Hydrozoa, Anthoathecata, Hydridae.